This 428-nucleotide ribosomal RNA is filed under the name uncultured bacterium. RNAcentral's name for it is "bacterial SSU rRNA". It matches the Rfam family "Bacterial small subunit ribosomal RNA", at positions 354 to 796 of the family's 1533-position model. The record is from RNAcentral.
GUGGGGAAUAUUGGGCAAUGGGCGAAAGCCUGACCCAGCAACGCCGCGUGAGGGAAGAAGGUUUUCGGAUUGUAAACCUCUGUCCUUGGUGACGAAGGAAGUGACGGUAGCCAAGGAGGAAGCCCCGGCUAACUACGUGCCAGCAGCCGCGGUAAUACGUAGGGGGCAAGCGUUGUCCGGAAUGACUGGGCGUAAAGGGCGCGUAGGCGGCUUUUUAAGUUAGAAGUGGAAGUCCUGCUUUUAAGGUGGGAAUUGCUUUUAAUACUGGAAGGCUUGAGUGCAGAAGAGGUAAGUGGAAUUCCCAGUGUAGCGGUGAAAUGCGUAGAGAUUGGGAAGAACACCAGUGGCGAAGGCGACUUACUGGGCUGUAACUGACGCUGAGGCGCGAAAGCGUGGGGAGCAAACAGGAUUAGAAACCCUGGUAGUCC